This 484-nucleotide ribosomal RNA is filed under the name uncultured bacterium. RNAcentral's name for it is "partial 16S ribosomal RNA". It matches the Rfam family "Bacterial small subunit ribosomal RNA", at positions 29 to 507 of the family's 1533-position model. The record is from RNAcentral.
AUUGAACGCUGGCGGCAUGCUUUACACAUGCAAGUCGAACGGCAGCGCGGGCUUCGGCCUGGCGGCGAGUGGCGAACGGGUGAGUAAUACAUCGGAACGUGCCCAGUAGUGGGGGAUAGCUCGGCGAAAGCCGGAUUAAUACCGCAUACGACCUGAGGGUGAAAGCGGGGGAUCUUCGGACCUCGCGCUAUUGGAGCGGCCGAUGGCAGAUUAGCUAGUUGGUGGGGUAAAGGCCUACCAGGGCGACGAUCUGUAGCUGGUCUGAGAGGACGACCAGCCACACUGGGACUGAGACACGGCCCAGACUCCUACGGGAGGCAGCAGUGGGGAAUUUUGGACAAUGGGCGAAAGCCUGAUCCAGCGAUGCCGCGUGUGUGAUGAAGGCCUUCGGGUUGUAAAGCACUUUUGGCGGGAACGAAAAGGACUGUGCCAAUACCACGGUUCGAUGACGGUACCCGCAGAAUAAGCACCGGCUAACUACGUG